Molecule: ribosomal RNA, 253 nt
Filed under: uncultured bacterium
Lineage: Bacteria
Description: partial 16S ribosomal RNA
Rfam family: Bacterial small subunit ribosomal RNA
Source: RNAcentral
UACGUAGGCAGCAAACGUUGUUCGGAGUUACUGGGCGUAAAGAGUACGUAGGCGGUUUGCCAAGUUUGGUGUGAAAUCUCCUGGCUUAACUGGGAGGGUGCGCCGAAUACUGGCGAACUUGAGUAUUGGAGAGGAAAGCGGAAUUCCUGGUGUAGCGGUGAAAUGCGUAGAUAUCAGGAGGAACACCGGUGGUGUAGACGGCUUUCUGGACAAUCACUGACGCUGAGGUACGAAAGCGUGGGUAGCAAACAGG